GGUCAGUCGAUCAGACCUAAAACAGUCAAUUCACGGGACGGCGGUUACAGUCCUAAAACAACCUA
This 65-nucleotide non-coding RNA is filed under the name unclassified sequences. Its description in RNAcentral is "GP20-b RNA". It matches the Rfam family "GP20-b RNA". The record is from RNAcentral.